RNAcentral lists this small nucleolar RNA (85 nucleotides) under Leptosomus discolor (cuckoo roller). Its description in RNAcentral is "Small nucleolar RNA SNORD121A". It matches the Rfam family "Small nucleolar RNA SNORD121A". Lineage: Eukaryota; Metazoa; Chordata; Aves; Leptosomiformes; Leptosomidae. The record is from Rfam by way of RNAcentral.
GUCCAAAAUACAGUGAUGUUACCUCUUCCAAGCACAUAUCUGACUGCUCUGUGUGGAAAAUGACUGUUCCUGAGUGAUUUUGGAU